UACGGAAGGCAGCAGUGGGGAAUAUUGCACAAUGGGCGCAAGCCUGAUGCAGCCAUGCCGCGUGUAUGAAGAAGGCCUUCGGGUUGUAAAGUACUUUCAGUCGUGAGGAAGGUGUUAAGGUUAAUAACCUUAGCAAUUGACGUUAGCGACAGAAGAAGCACCGGCUAACUCCGUGCCAGCAGCCGCGGUAAUACGGAGGGUGCGAGCGUUAAUCGGAAUUACUGGGCGUAAAGGGCACGCAGGCGGUUAAUUAAGUUGGAUGUGAAAUCCCCGGGCUUAACCUGGGAAUGGCAUUCAAGACUGGUUAGCUAGAGUCUUGUAGAGGGGGUAGAAUUCCAUGUGUAGCGGUGAAAUGCGUAGAGAUGUGGAGGAAUACCGGUGGCGAAAGGCGGCCCCUGGACAAAGGACUGACGCUCAUGUGCGAAAAGCGUGGGGAGCAAACAGGAUUAGAUACC
Molecule: ribosomal RNA, 455 nt
Filed under: uncultured bacterium
Lineage: Bacteria
Description: bacterial SSU rRNA
Rfam family: Bacterial small subunit ribosomal RNA
Source: RNAcentral